UGCGUAGCUCAGGGGACAGAGCACGUGCCUUCUAAGCAUGUGGUCGGAGGUUCGAAUCCUCCCGUG
Molecule: transfer RNA, 66 nt
Filed under: fish gut metagenome
Rfam family: tRNA
About the family: Transfer RNA (tRNA) molecules are approximately 80 nucleotides in length.
Source: RNAcentral